UGGGGCCGGUUCACAGGUGGUGCAUGGUUGUCGUCAGCUCGUGUCGUGAGAUGUUGGGUUAAGUCCCGCAACGAGCGCAACCCUCGUUCCAUGUUGCCAGCGCGUAAUGGCGGGGACUCAUGGGAGACUGCCGGGGUCAACUCGGAGGAAGGUGGGGACGACGUCAAAUCAUCAUGCCCCUUAUGUCUUGGGCUUCACGCAUGCUACAAUGGCCGGUACAAAGGGUUGCGAUACUGUGAGGUGGAGCUAAUCCCAAAAAGCCGGUCUCAGUUCGGAUUGGGGUCUGCAGCUCGACCCCAUGAAGUCGGAGUCGCUAGUAAUCGCAGAUCAGCAACGCUGCGGUGAAUACGUUCCCGGGCCUU
This 362-nucleotide ribosomal RNA is filed under the name uncultured soil bacterium. RNAcentral describes it as "bacterial SSU rRNA". It matches the Rfam family "Bacterial small subunit ribosomal RNA", at positions 1022 to 1382 of the family's 1533-position model. The record is from RNAcentral.